RNAcentral lists this long non-coding RNA (800 nucleotides) under Heterocephalus glaber (naked mole-rat). RNAcentral's name for it is "lncRNA (ENSHGLG00100040701.1)". The record is from RNAcentral. Lineage: Eukaryota; Metazoa; Chordata; Mammalia; Rodentia; Bathyergidae.
GCUAACUGCCAAACCACCCUUGUAGGAAGCCAAGGAUGUUUGAGGAGCCACAGAACCUUCCCUGUCCGGUGUGGAGAGAGAGCUGAGAGUGAGAAGAGGAUCAGCAGGGUGUGCUUUCUUUCAAUUUACUUAUGAUCUUACCUGGUCCUGGCACACCUUUUUUGUUGUUGUUGUUGUUGUUGUUGUUGUUGUUUUGGUACCGGGAUCAAACUCGGGUCCUUGUGCUUGCACAGCAGGUGGUGAAACCACUGAGCUAAAUCCCCAGCCCUGUUGUUGUUUGUUUUUUGUUACAAGGUCUUGCUAUGUGGUUCAGGCUGGCCUUCAACUCACUAUGUAGCACAGGCUGGACUCAAAUUUGCAGAGAUCCUCCUGUCUCAGCCUCCCAAGUGCUAGGAUUACAGAAAAGAAAACUGAGCCUGGAAGUUUAUCAAGGCAAGAUAGAAACAAUCCAGCCAUGUAACCUCCAGAUGGACACAUGCUUACUUUGGGCAAGAUGGGCAACACUUGCCCUCCUCCCUGAGAGCCUCUCCAUACCCAGGGCAAGCUGGCUGGGAGCGCAUUUUCCCUGGCUGAAUCCUGUCUCCAGCCCAGAGUCCCUCCUGGAGCAGCCAGCACAAUUAUGCCCACUUUCCUCUCUGAAAUGGUUGACCUGCAUUUCUGAGUUGCUGGUAAAAUAAAUUAAAAGUAACAUUUUGCUUUGUUGUUUUCAUUUCUUAUUCCAUUUCCAGCCAUGUGAUGUCUUAUGAAUCCCUUUUUGCUUUUCUUACUCCACCUCAACAGUCAGCACAGUGAGAGAGAGG